Molecule: long non-coding RNA, 1192 nt
Filed under: Equus caballus (horse)
Lineage: Eukaryota; Metazoa; Chordata; Mammalia; Perissodactyla; Equidae
Description: lncRNA (ENSECAG00000058472.1)
Source: RNAcentral
UCCUUUAGGACUAAGAAACUGAGAGUGAGAAGUGGGACACGCUGGUCCUAAUCCAGGCUCCGACACUAACCACCCCAAUCUCCCCUGGGCCUCAGAAUCAGCAUCCGUGGUUUGGAGCAACAUGACCUACGUUGCACACCUCACAGGAAGGACUUCAUUCUGGGUCAGCGACCAAAAGAAUUGAACCAGGAGCAAAGAUCAUGCUUAUUGUCCAGCAGAUGGUCGAUAAAUAUUUUACAAUGAAGGAGGAAAGCAAGAAACGAAGCUCUAUUUUCUCAGGAUAUCAAGGUGUUUCCUGAAAUGCCUUUGUUGAUAUUGGCAGUUGCAGGUUGGAGACAUAAUGUGUUGUUGGAGACAACAUCUUAAGGCAAAUCACUGAAAGACAGACUCCUGGCUUUGACAGAAAGCUUGAUAGAGAAUACCAACACGGCAAGGAGUCAUAGGGGUCUUUAUUGAACAGUAUCAAGUUAAAUGGGACCAACUACCAUACUGAAGACUUGGCUUUACUGAAGACAGACAGGACUACUCCAGGGAGGAGCUUACCCGGGCUCCAGAUUGGCCCCACUGGAAAAUCUGCUUUGCUCAGGAAAGAUUCUUGGCAAUUACCUGUAGCAAACUCAACUAGCAACUUGCCCAUUCUUUGGUUUGAACCAACCCUCUGGAUUUCAGCUCAAUUGAUCAAUUUGCCCUCUCUCCAAAACUUCAAUUCACUCCUAUUUACCUCUUUAUUGUCUCUCCUCUCCACUGGUCUAAAAAUUACAUGAAGAGAGAGAUUAUGUCACUUAAUUCACCACUGUAUACCUGUGCAUGACAUGGUGCCUAACACAUAGUGGAUGUGUGAUAAAUAAGGGUUGAAUGAAUGAAUGAAUCUGAAGGACCCAAAGCUCCAAUUUCCUUCCUAUGCUGUGGUAGGUCACGGUGUUCAGCCUCCCAACAUCCAGACCACUUCAGCUGAUGAGUCUAAAGUUCUAGGUGUUCUUAACCUCGGAUCCAUGGACCAAUUAAGGGUCUGUGACUGUGCAUAGAAAAAAUGCCUCUUCAUUUUCACUAACUUUUAACUGAAAUGUAGCUUUUCCUUCAAUCAUAAAUGUAGAGAAGAAACCACAGUAGUCUAUGAGCAGGACCUGUGAUUUUUGUGACCAGUAGAAUCCUUUAUGCUCAUCAACAACGUGGAAUUAUUGUAGUAAUUGUA